This 253-nucleotide ribosomal RNA is filed under the name uncultured bacterium. RNAcentral's name for it is "partial 16S ribosomal RNA". It matches the Rfam family "Bacterial small subunit ribosomal RNA", at positions 524 to 776 of the family's 1533-position model. The record is from RNAcentral.
UACGAAGGGGGCUAGCGUUGCUCGGAAUGACUGGGCGUAAAGGGCGCGUAGGCGGUUUGUUAAGUCAGGGGUGAAAUCCCGGAGCUCAACUCCGGAACUGCCUUUGAUACUGGCAAGCUAGAGUCCGGAAGAGGUAAGUGGAACUCCUAGUGUAGAGGUGGAAUUCGUAGAUAUUAGGAAGAACACCAGUGGCGAAGGCGGCUUACUGGUCCGGAACUGACGCUGAGGUGCGAAAGCGUGGGGAGCAAACAGG